RNAcentral lists this ribosomal RNA (512 nucleotides) under Pseudoalteromonas shioyasakiensis. RNAcentral describes it as "partial 23S ribosomal RNA". It matches the Rfam family "Bacterial large subunit ribosomal RNA", at positions 578 to 1090 of the family's 2925-position model. Lineage: Bacteria; Pseudomonadati; Pseudomonadota; Gammaproteobacteria; Alteromonadales; Pseudoalteromonadaceae. The record is from RNAcentral.
AGCCCGUUUAUGGGUGAUGGCGUGCCUUUUGCAGAAUGAACCGGCGAGUUACGAUCUCGUGCGAGGUUAAGUCGAAAAGACGGAGCCGUAGCGAAAGCGAGUCUGAAUAGGGCGUAUAGUACGAGGUCGUAGACCCGAAACCAGGUGAUCUACCCAUGUCCAGGGUGAAGGUAGGGUAAUACCUACUGGAGGCCCGAACCCACGUACGUUGAAAAGUGCGGGGAUGAGGUGUGGGUAGGGGUGAAAUGCCAAUCGAACACGGAGAUAGCUGGUUCUCUCCGAAAUAGCUUUAGGGCUAGCCUCAAGAUGAUGAGUACUGGAGGUAGAGCACUGAUUGGACUAGGGGCCCUCAUCGGGUUACCGAAUUCAGUCAAACUCCGAAUGCCAGAUACUUAAACUUGGGAGUCAGACUACGAGUGAUAAGAUCCGUGGUCAAGAGGGAAACAGCCCAGAUCACCAGCUAAGGUCCCAAAGUGUACGUUAAGUGGAAAAGGAUGUGGAGUUGCUUAGAC